RNAcentral lists this ribosomal RNA (274 nucleotides) under uncultured bacterium. RNAcentral's name for it is "partial 16S ribosomal RNA". It matches the Rfam family "Bacterial small subunit ribosomal RNA", at positions 523 to 796 of the family's 1533-position model. The record is from RNAcentral.
AUACGGAGGGUGCAAGCGUUACUCGGAAUCACUGGGCGUAAAGGACGCGUAGGUGGCUUCAUAAGUCAGGUGUGAAAGCCCACGGCUCAACCGUGGAACUGCACUUGAAACUGUGAUGCUAGAGUCUGGGAGAGGCAGAUGGAAUUGGUGGUGUAGGGGUAAAAUCCGUAGAGAUCACCAGGAAUACCGAUGGCGAAGGCGAUCUGCUGGAACAGUACUGACGCUGAGGCGUGAAAGCGUGGGGAGCAAACAGGAUUAGAAACCCUAGUAGUCC